Alligator sinensis (Chinese alligator) is the source of this 528-nucleotide long non-coding RNA. RefSeq lists it as uncharacterized. The transcript has 3 exons. The record is from RefSeq and is a predicted model, not a curated record. NCBI's taxonomy places the organism in Eukaryota, Metazoa, Chordata, Crocodylia, Alligatoridae.
GCCUUGAAGAGGAAAGUUAAAUUAGCUUCAGUCUGCAAACUGAGGAUUAAGACAGAGGUCUGAAUGAGUUGCCUGUAUCAAUGUCUCCAGUUUGCUGAGUGCUGAAAACCAGCCUAAAGAUCUGCCUGGUAUCCCAACCCUAAAGACUGCUAAAAGAGGAGUGAGGAGGACCACCUCUCAUCCGCCCUCAGACCAUUACCUAAUUAGGGUUACCAUAUUUCCAGGUCCAAAAAAUAGGACACCUGUUGGGGGAAGGAGAGGUGGGGAAUAUGAUGGCAGGGGGGAAAGUGACAUGCUGGUGCCCCUCACUGACAAGCCACAGCUCCCCCCCACCCCAGCCUUGCUGCUGCCUCUCACUCCUGACCCACUGAUGUCAGCCAUGCCAGUGCAUCUCACUCCCAAAAAGCAGUACCCUGCCCCCACCCUCCGUGCUGGUGUCCCUCACUCCUGACCUGCAGCCCCCUGGUGCUGCCAGUGCCCUGCAUACCCAACUCACAGUCACCACCCCGCCCCCGCCCCUCACUCCUG